Long non-coding RNA from Salvelinus fontinalis (brook trout), 4094 nucleotides. RefSeq lists it as uncharacterized. The transcript has 3 exons. Lineage: Eukaryota; Metazoa; Chordata; Actinopteri; Salmoniformes; Salmonidae. The record is from RefSeq and is a predicted model, not a curated record.
UGUUUUAUGUAAACCAUGAGAAGAUGAGGUAAGAUGUUUUAUAUAAACCAUGGGAAGAUGAGGUAAGAUGUUUUAUAUAAACCAUGGGAAAGUUUACAGUAAGAUGUUUUAUAUAAACCAUGGGAAGGUUUAGGGUAAGAUGUUUUAUAUAAACCAUGAGAAGGUUUACGGAAAGAUGUUUUAUAUAAACCAUGGGAAGAUGAGGUAAGAUGUUUUAUAUAAACCAUGGGAAGAUGAGGUAAGAUGUUUUAUAUAAACCAUGGGAAGGUUUACGGUAAGAUGUUUUAUAUAAACCAUGGGAAGAUGAGGUAAGAUGUUUUAUAUAAACCAUGGGAAGAUGAGGUAAGAUGUUUUAUAUAAACCAUGGGAAGAUGAGGUAAGAUGUUUUAUAUAAACAAUGGGAAGAUGAGGUAAGAUGGUUUAUAUAAACCAUGGGAAGGUUUACGGUAAGAUGUUUUAUAUAAACCAUGGGAAGGUUUACGGUAAGAUGUUUUUUAUAAACCAUGGGAAGAUUUACGGUAAGAUGUUUUAUAUAAACCAUGGGAAGGUUUACGGUAAGAUGUUUUAUAUAAACCAUGGGAAGGUUUACGGUAAGACGUUUUAUAUAAACCAUGGGAAGGUUUACGGUAAGAUGUUUUAUAUAAACCAUGGGAAGGUUUACGGUAAGAUGUUUUAUAUAAACCAUGGGAAGGUUUACGGUAAGAUGUUUUAUAUAAACCAUGGGAAGAUGAGGUAAGAUGUUUUAUAUAAACCAUGGGAAGAUGAGGUAAGAUGUUUUAUAUAAACCAUGGGAAGAUGAGGUAAGAUGUUUUAUAUAAACCAUGGGAAGAUGAGGUAAGAUGUUUUAUAUAAACCAUGGGAAGGUUUACGGUAAGAUGUUUUAUAUAAACCAUGGGAAGGUUUACGGUAAGAUGUUUUAUAUAAACCAUGGGAAGAUGAGGUAAGAUGUUUUAUAUAAACCAUGGGAAGGUUUACGGUAAGAUGUUUUAUAUAAACCAUGGGAAGAUGAGGUAAGAUGUUUUAUAUAAACCAUGGGAAGGUUUACGGUAAGAUGUUUUAUAUAAACCAUGGGAAGGUUUACGGUAAGAUGUUUUAUAUAAACCAUGGGAAGGUUUACGGUAAGAUGUUUUAUAUAAACCAUGGGAAGAUGAGGUAAGAUGUUUUAUAUAAACCAUGGGAAGAUGAGGUAAGAUGUUUUAUAUAAACAAUGGGAAGAUGAGGUAAGAUGUUUUAUAUAAACAAUGGGAAGAUGAGGUAAGAUGUUUUAUAUAAACAAUGGGAAGAUGAGGUAAGAUGUUUUAUAUAAACCAUGAGAAGAUGAGGUAAGAUGUUUUAUAUAAACCAUGGGAAGAUGAGGUAAGAUGUUUUAUAUAAACCAUGGGAAGAUGAGGUAAGAUGUUUUAUAUAAACCAUAGGAAGAUGAGGUAAGAUGUUUUAUAUAAACCAUGGGAAGAUGAGGUAAGAUGUUUUAUAUAAACAAUGGGAAGAUGAGGUAAGAUGUUUUAUAUAAACCAUGGGAAGAUGAGGUAAGAUGGUUUAUAUAAACCAUGGGAAGGUUUACGGUAAGAUGUUUUAUAUAAACCAUGGGAAGGUUUACGGUAAGAUGUUUUUAAUAAACCAUGGGAAGGUUUACGGUAAGAUGUUUUAUAUAAACCAUGGGAAGGUUUACGGUAAGAUGUUUUAUAUAAACCAUGGGAAGAUGAGGUAAGAUGUUUUAUAUAAACCAUGGGAAGGUUUACGGUAAGAUGUUUUAUAUAAACCAUGGGAAGGUUUACGGUAAGAUGUUUUAUAUAAACCAUGGGAAGAUUUACGGUAAGAUGUUUUAUAUAAACCAUGGGAAGGUUUACGGUAAGAUGUUUUAUAUAAACCAUGGGAAGAUUUACGGUAAGAUGUUUUAUAUAAACCAUGGGAAGAUUUACGGUAAGAUGUUUUAUAUAAACCAUGGGAAGGUUUACGGUAAGAUGUUUUAUAUAAACCAUGGGAAGGUUUACGGUAAGAUGUUUUAUAUAAACCAUGGGAAGGUUUACGGUAAGAUGUUUUAUAUAAACCAUGGGAAGAUUUACGGUAAGAUGUUUUAUAUAAACCAUGGGAAGGUUUACGGUAAGAUGUUUUAUAUAAACCAUGGGAAGAUGAGGUAAGAUGUUUUAUAUAAACCAUGGGAAGAUGAGGUAAGAUGUUUUAUAUAAACAAUGGGAAGAUGAGGUAAGAUGUUUUAUAUAAACAAUGGGAAGAUGAGGUAAGAUGUUUUAUAUAAACCAUGAGAAGAUGAGGUAAGAUGUUUUAUAUAAACAAUGGGAAGAUGAGGUAAGAUGUUUUAUAUAAACCAUGAGAAGAUGAGGUAAGAUGUUUUAUAUAAACAAUGGGAAGAUGAGGUAAGAUGUUUUAUAUAAACCAUAGGAAGAUGAGGUAAUAUGUUUUAUAUAAACCAUGGGAAGAUGAGGUAAGAUGUUUUAUAUAAACCAUGGGAAGAUGAGGUAAGAUGUUUUAUAUAAACAAUGGGAAGAUGAGGUAAGAUGGUUUAAAUAAACCAUGGGAAGAUGAGGUAAGAUGGUUUAUAUAAACCAUGGGAAGGUUUACGGUAAGAUGUUUUAUAUAAACCAUGGGAAGGUUUACGGUAAGAUGUUUUAUAUAAACCAUGGGAAGAUGAGGUAAGAUGUUUUAUAUAAACCAUGUGAAGAUGAGGUAAGAUGUUUUAUAUAAACCAUGGGAAGGUUUACGGUAAGAUGUUUUAUAUAAACCAUGGGAAGAUGAGGUAAGAUGUUUUAUAUAAACCAUGGGAAGGUUUACGGUAAGAUGUUUUAUAUAAACCAUGGGAAGGUUUACGGUAAGAUGUUUUAUAUAAACCAUGGGAAGAUGAGGUAAGAUGUUUUAUAUAAACCAUGGGAAGGUUUACGGUAAGAUGUUUUAUAUAAACCAUGGGAAGAUGAGGUAAGAUGUUUUAUAUAAACCAUGGGAAGGUUUACGGUAAGAUGUUUUAUAUAAACCAUGGUAAGGUUUACGGUAAGAUGUUUUAUAUAAACCAUGGGAAGGUUUACGGUAAGAUGUUUUAUAUAAACCAUGCGAAGAUGAGGUAAGAUGUUUUAUAUAAACCAUGGGAAGGUUUACGGUAAGAUGUUUUAUAUAAACCAUGGGAAGAUGAGGUAAGAUGUUUUAUAUAAACCAUGGGAAGAUGAGGUAAGAUGUUUUAUAUAAACAAUGGGAAGAUGAGGUAAGAUGUUUUAUAUAAACCAUGAGAAGAUGAGGUAAGAUGUUUUAUAUAAACAAUGGGAAGAUGAGGUAAGAUGUUUUAUAUAAACCAUGGGAAGAUGAGGUAAGAUGUUUUAUAUAAACAAUGGGAAGAUGAGGUAAGAUGUUUUAUAUAAACAAUGGGAAGAUGAGGUAAGAUGUUUUAUAUAAACAAUGGGAAGAUGAGGUAAGAUGUUUUAUAUAAACCAUGAGAAGGGACACUCAUUGGUUAGGCCCUUUAUAUGACUUCAUGUUAUGACUAUAUGCCACUAUGUAUGUUGUCAUGACUACUGCGACAGUCUCCGAAUUGUAUAUUAAGGAUGAAUAUUGAAGAACUGAGCAUUAUGUGCAUCAUUUUAACAUUGUUACUCUAGUCUAAUUUAUUAGUUGUUCACAGCAAAGCUGCAUUUUUAUAAAAAAAUUCUUGACAUGGUCAAAUAUCUCAAGCAUAGAUUGGUAACUUCUUUUUCUUCAAAUUUGGCACACAGAAACUACAGGACUGACUUGAUCAAAAAGAAUGGUACUGAUUGACCUAUAGGUGGCGAAGUUAUAAGCAGUUAUAAAUCCUCAUAUCCGUCACCCCGUAUGACCUACAGCAGGGGUCUUCAACCUUUUCUUGGCCAGGGACCCCUUCCCACGGACCACUUCCCAGGGACCCCUUCCCAUGGACCCCAUGUCAUCAGAGACAUUACCAUGAUGAAACAUUGAUAUCUUAAAAAAUAUAUAUAUAGGAAACUAUUACCCAGGUGUCCUUUCUGCCAUCCUAUGAACCCUGUUCAUUGCUGCUUGCAGCUACAGUAUAUUUACCUUCUUCUUCAUAAAGGGAAAAUGCACACUUAAUUCUUGCCCUGCCUCCCUCCCUUUCUCUC